RNAcentral lists this ribosomal RNA (253 nucleotides) under uncultured bacterium. RNAcentral's name for it is "partial 16S ribosomal RNA". It matches the Rfam family "Bacterial small subunit ribosomal RNA", at positions 524 to 776 of the family's 1533-position model. The record is from RNAcentral.
UACGGGGGGGGCAAGCGUUGUUCGGAAUUACUGGGCGUAAAGGGCUCGUAGGCGGCCAACUAAGUCCGACGUGAAAUCCCCAGGCUUAACCUGGGAACUGCGUCGGAUACUGGAAGGCUUGAAUCCGGGAGAGGGAUGCGGAAUUCCAGGUGUAGCGGUGAAAUGCGUAGAUAUCUGGAGGAACACCGGUGGCGAAGGCGGCAUCCUGGACCGGCAUUGACGCUGAGGCGCGAAAGCCAGGGGAGCAAACGGG